GGCGUAUUUCAGCCUGUAUACACUAUCUAGGUGUUAUCACCUGAGUAAAUAUAUGGUUUUAAAGUUUGGUUUGACCUACUUUAUGUUGGAAUGAGUUGAGUGGAAUAAUGAACCUCCAGAUGUCUAUGUACACGUGUAUGAAUAAACUCUGUUGUACUUGCGCAUGCGAGCUUAUCCAAUA
Molecule: long non-coding RNA, 181 nt
Organism: Ostrea edulis (European flat oyster)
Lineage: Eukaryota; Metazoa; Mollusca; Bivalvia; Ostreida; Ostreidae
Exons: 2
Source: RefSeq, a predicted model, not a curated record